GACGAACGCUGGCGGCGUGCUUAACACAUGCAAGUCGAGCGGAAAGGCCACUUCGGUGGUACUCGAGCGGCGAACGGGUGAGUAACACGUGAGUAAUCUGCCCCUGGCUUUGGGAUAGCCACCGGAAACGGUGAUUAAUACCGGAUACGACCACUUCUCGCAUGGGAUGGUGGUGGAAAGUUUUUUCGGCCAGGGAUGUGCUCGCGGCCUUUCAGCUUGAUGGUGAGGUAAUGGCUCACCAUGGCUUCGACGGGUAGCCGGCCUGAGAGGGUGACCGGUCACACUGGGUCUGAGACACGGCCCAGACUCCUACGGGAGGCAGCAGUGGGGAAUAUUGGACAAUGGGCGGAAGCCUGAUUCAGCAACGCCGCGUGAGGGAUGACGGCCUUCGGGUUGUAAACCUCUUUCAGCAGGGACGAAGCGCAAGUGACGGUACCUGCAGAAGAAGCACCGGCCAACUACGUGCCAGCCGCCGCAGUAA
This 481-nucleotide ribosomal RNA is filed under the name uncultured bacterium. RNAcentral describes it as "partial 16S ribosomal RNA". It matches the Rfam family "Bacterial small subunit ribosomal RNA", at positions 28 to 523 of the family's 1533-position model. The record is from RNAcentral.